This 489-nucleotide ribosomal RNA is filed under the name uncultured bacterium. RNAcentral describes it as "bacterial SSU rRNA". It matches the Rfam family "Bacterial small subunit ribosomal RNA", at positions 31 to 507 of the family's 1533-position model. The record is from RNAcentral.
GAACGCUAGCGGCAGGCUUAACACAUGCAAGGUCGAGGGGCAGCAAGAAUUGUGCUUGCACAAGUUUGUUGGCCGACCGGCGCACGGGUGCGUAACGCGUAUGCAACCUACCUUUAACAGGGGGAUAACACUGAGAAAUUGGUACUAAUACCCCAUAAUACUUUGAAAGGCAUCUUUCGGAGUUGAAAGUUCCGGCGGUUAGAGAUGGGCAUGCGUUGUAUUAGCUAGAUGGUGAGGUAACGGCUCACCAUGGCGACGAUACAUAGGGGGACUGAGAGGUUAACCCCCCACAUUGGUACUGAGACACGGACCAAACUCCUACGGGAGGCAGCAGUGAGGAAUAUUGGUCAAUGGACGCAAGUCUGAACCAGCCAUGCCGCGUGCAGGAUGACGGCUCUAUGAGUUGUAAACUGCUUUUGUAUUAGGGUAAACCUUAGUACGUGUACUAAGCUGAAAGUAUAAUACGGAUAAGGAUCGGCUAACUCCGUG